AAAAUUUUUAAUUUCGGUAUCAGCUUCUCAUCGUCAUUCGGACUUCUCCUCAUCACCUCAGCUUGGCGGCUGGGGUUUUU
This 80-nucleotide non-coding RNA is filed under the name Nostoc sp. PCC 7524. Its description in RNAcentral is "Photosynthesis regulatory RNA1". It matches the Rfam family "Photosynthesis regulatory RNA1". Rfam says of the family: Formerly known as Syr1 discovered in Synechocystis sp PCC 6803, is a regulatory factor controlling photosynthetic functions. PsrR1 interacts with the ribosome binding regions of several photosynthesis-related mRNAs. Lineage: Bacteria; Bacillati; Cyanobacteriota; Cyanophyceae; Nostocales; Nostocaceae. The record is from Rfam by way of RNAcentral.